This is a long non-coding RNA of Sarcophilus harrisii (Tasmanian devil), 5520 nucleotides long. NCBI's taxonomy places the organism in Eukaryota, Metazoa, Chordata, Mammalia, Dasyuromorphia, Dasyuridae. The record is from Ensembl.
GGAUAGAUAAUGUGCAUAUUCAAUACCUCUGGUUAUUGUCCCAGAGGCAUAUGUUGCAUAGUACAUAGACUUUUGGGAGAGGACUGGAGUUUAAAUUUUAAAUUAAAUCACAUUACUUAUGUGAUUUUAGGAAAGUUACUUAAGAUUGCUAAGUCUUAUAUUCUUUCACUGUGAUGUAGUGAUAAUAAUAGAACAUAAUAUCAUAUAAUUAUUUAUAAUAUGAUAUAAUUAUUUUGCAAAUUAAAUGGAAGUACAUAAUUAGUGCUUUGUAAAUAUUAAAGUGCCAAAUAAAUUCUAACUAUUAUUUUAUAUGUAUCUAUACUUGUCUUUUAUACAACUUACGACGUUCUAACCUUCUAAAAGAUAGUAAAAACUUGAUUGAUAACCAUGAUUUCAGAAAUUAUGAAUUAUUGAGGAAUAUAAGUGAUAUUCAAUGAGUCAUGUCUCUUGGGAUGAUUGUUCACAAAUCAAGUAAAUUUAUGAAGAAAAACCUGUCAUGAAUUUGAGGCCAGUCAUGUAUGUACAUUUGUUUUGUCACUGCAUUGUAGCAUCUUCCAGGAUGGAACGCAUUAGAUAAUGCUAAAAAUAUCUAGGCACCUGUUUAUGGACAUUUUGAUGUACUGAUAAAAUGUUAAUAUAAUAUAUGAAGCCUAAUAGUAAAAAAAAUUACUAUAAAAUUAAAUUAUUGCAAAUGUAAAAAUUACAUUAAAAUGAAUGUGAGUCUUCUUUCUCAGUUGGGAGGUGGAUUUUUGAGCAAGGGCUGCAGUUUGUUAUUGUUGUUGUUAUUGCUAUUUGACUCCUAGUAAUUCAUAAUUCUUAGAACAUAGCAAAUAUUCAAUAGUAUUAUUGUUUCACUAUGCAACUAAUCUAUAUACUUUUAUUUUAUUAAAUCCUAACCCUUAGCAUUUUGUUCCUAAUAUUUGAGAUUGAAGUUUCACAUGUUAAAUUAUAGGCAUACUACUUGCCUCUUAUGGUAGCUAUAAAACAGUCAGUGAGGAGUAAUAGUUUGCAUAAGAAAUUGGGAUUUUGUACCCAUGAUAUGAAUCACAGAGGGCUUUAUUGUAUCUAUUUCUUGAUGCAGCCUUUGAUGUCAUCUUCCCACAUUAUAAUACUUUAUGAAUUCAAUCUGAUAUAUUGUGAAUGGCCAUCCUAUAGGUGACAGACAUGUUUCUAUCUUCUUGAUUCUACAAUGAAACCCUUAUAUGCAUCAGAUUGUGACUUCUGUGUCAGGGAUAAUUUUAUAAUGUGCAUAUUCAAUACUUCUGGUUAUUGUCCAAGAGGCAUUUGUUGCAUAGUACAUAGACUUUGGGGAGAGGACUGGAGUUUAAAUUUUAAAUUAAAUCAUAUUACUUAUGUGAUUUUAGGAAAGUUUCUUAAGAUUGCUGUCUUAUUUUCUUUUACUGUGAUGUAGUGAUAAUAAUAGAACGUAUUAUGAUAUAAUUAUCUAUAAUAUAAUAUGAUUAUUUUUCAAAUUAAAUGGAAGUACAUAUUUGGUGCUUUGUAAAUAUUAAAGUGCUAAAUAAAUUCUAACUAUUAUUUUAUAUGUAUUGAUAUUUGUCUUUUAUACAAAUUACUACCUUGUACUCUCUAUAAGAUAGGAAAGUACUUGAUUGAUAACCACGAUUUCAAAAAUUAUGAAAUAUUGAUGAAUAUAAAUGAUAUUCAUUGAGUCAUGUCUCUUGGAAUGAUUGUCAACAAAUCAAGUAAAUUUAUGAAGAAAAGCAUGUCAUGAAUUUGAGGAUGGUCAUGUAAGAUCAUUUGUUUUGUCACUGCACUGAAGCAUCUUCCAGGAUGUAACUGUUUAGCUAAUGCUAAAAAUAUCAGACACCUGUUCAUGGACAUUUUGAUGUACUGAUAAUAUGUUAAUAUAAUAUAUUAAGCCUAACAUUAAAAAAAUUUACUAUUAAAUUAAAUUAUUGCAAAUGUAAAAAUUACAUUAAAAAUGAAUGUGAGUCAAUUUUCUCAGUUGGGAGGUGGAUUUGUGAGCAAGGACUGCAGCUUGUUAUCGUUGUUCUUAUUACUAUUUGACUCCUAGUCAUUAGCAUAAUUCUUAGAACAUAGCAAAUAUUUAAUAGUAUUAUUUUUUCACUAUUCAAAUACACUAUGUACUUUUAUUUUAUUAAAUCCUGACCCUUAGCGUUUUGUUCCUUAUAUUUGAGAUUGAAGUUUCUCUUGCUAAAUUAUAGACAUACUGCUUGCCUCUUAUGGUAGCUACAAAACAGUCAGUGAGGAGUAAUAGUUUGCAUAAGAAAUUGGGAUUAUAUACCCAUGAUAUGAAUCACAGAGGGCUUUAAUGUAUCUAUUUCUAUACCCAGCCAUUGAUGUCAUUUUCCCAUGUUAUAAUACUUUAUGAAUUCAAUCUGAAAUAUUGUGAAUGGCCAUCCUAUAGGUGACAGACAUGUUUCUAUCUGAUUGAUUCUACAAUGAAACCCUUAUAUGCAUCAGAUUUUGACUUUUGCGUCAGGGAUAAUUUUAAAAUGUGCAUAUUCAAUACCUCUGGUUAUUGUCCCAGAGGCAUAUGUUGCAUAGUACAUAGACUUUUGGGAGAGGACUGGAGUUUAAAUUUUAAAUUAAAACACAUUACUUAUGUGAUUUUAGGAAAGUUACUUAAGAUUGCUAAGUCUUAUAUUCUUUCACUGUGAUGUAGUGAUAAUAAUAGAACAUAAUAUCAUAUAAUUAUUUAUAAUAUGAUAUAAAUAUUUUGCAAAUUAAAAGGAAGUACAUAAUUAGUGCUUUGUAAAUAUUAAAGUGCCAAAUAAUUUCUAACUAUGAUUUUAUAAGUAUCUAUACUUGUCUUUUAUACAACUUACAACGUUCUAACCUUCUAAAAGAUAGUAAAAACUUGAUUGAUAACCAAGAUUUCAGAAAUUAUGAUUUAUUGAUGAAUAUAAGUGAUAUUCAAUGAGUCAUGUCUCUUGGGAUGAUUGUCCACAAACCAAGAAAAUUUAUGAAGAAAAACAUGUCAUGAAUUUGAGGAUGGUCAUGUAUGUUCAUUUGUUUUGUCACUGCAUUGUAGCAUCUUCCAGGAUGGAACUCUUUAGCUAAUGCUAAAAAUAUCUAGCCACCUGUUUAUGGACAUUUUGAUGUACUGAUAAAAUGUUAAUAUAAUAUAUGAAGCCUAACAGUAAAAAAAAAUUACUAUAAAAUUAAAUUAUUGCAAAGGUAAAAAUUACAGUAAAAUGAAUGUGAGUCAUCUUUCUCAGUUGGGAGGUGGAUUUGUGAGCAAGGACUGCAGCUUGUUAUUGUUGUUGUUAUUACUAUUUGACACCUAGUAAUUCAUAAUUCUUAGAACAUAGAAAAUAUUCAAUAGUAUUAUUGUUUCACUAUUCAAAUAAACUAUGUACUUUUAUUUUAUUAAAUCCUAACCCUUAGCGUUUUGUUCCUUAUGUUUGAGAUUGAAGUUUCUCAUGUUAAAUUAUAGGCAUAUUACUUGCCUCUCAUGGUAGCUACAAAACAGUCAGUGUGGAGUAAAUUUUGCAUAUGAAAUUGGGAUUAUGUAGCCAUGAUAUGAAUCACACAGGGCUUUAUUGUAUCUAUUUCUUGAUCCAGCCAUUGAUGUCAUCUUCCCACAUUAUAAUACUUUAUGAAUUCAAUCUGAAAUAUUGUGAAUGGCCAUCCUAUAGGUGACAGACAUGUUUCUAUCUUAUUGAUUCUACAAUGAAAUCCUUAUAUGCAUCAGACUGUGACUUCUGUGUCAGGGAUAAUUUUAUAAUGUGCAUAUUCAGUACCUUGGGUUAAAGUCCCAGAGGUAUGUGUUGCAUAGUAGAUAGAUUUUGGGAGAGGACUAGAGUUUAAAUUUUAAAUUAAAUCACAUUACUCAUGUGAUUUUAGGAAAGUUAUUUAAGAUUGCUAAGUCUUAUUUUCUCUCACGAUUGUGUAGUGAUAAUAAUAGAACAUAAUAUGAUAUAAUUAUAUAUAAUAUGAUAUAAUUAUUUUGAAAAUUAAAUGGAAGUACAUAUUUAGUGCUUUGUAAAUAUGAAAGUGCUAAAUAAAUUCUAACUAUUAUUUUAUAUGUAUCGAUACUUGUCUUUUAUACAACUUACAACCUUCUAACCUUUUAUAAGAUAGGAAAGUACUUGAUUGAUAACCAUGAUUUCACAAAUUAUGAAUUAUUGAUGAAUAUAAAUGAUAUUCAAUGAGUCUUGACUCUUGGGAUGAUUGUCAACAAAUCAAGUAAAUUUAUGAAGAAAAAACAUGUCAUGAAUUUGAGGAUGGUCAUGUAUGAUCAUUUGUUUUGUCACAGCACUGUAGCAUCUUCCAGGAUGUAACUGUUUAGCUAAUGCUAAAAAUAACUAGACACCUGUUCAUGGACAUUUUGAUGUACUGAUAAUAUGUUAAAAAUAUAUUAAGCCUAAAAGUAUAAAAAUUACUAUUAAAUUAAAUUAUUGCAAAUGUAAAAAUUACAUUAAAAAUUAAUGUGAGUCAUUUUCUCAGUUGGGAGGUGGAUUUGAGAGCAAGGACUGCAGCUUGUUAGUGUUGUUGUUAUUGCUAUCUGACUCCUAGUAAUUAGUAUAAUUCUUAGAACAUAGCAAAUAUUUAAUAGUAUUAUUGUUUCACUAUUCAACUAAACUAUGUACUUUUAUUUUAUUAAAUCCUAACCCUUAGCGUUUUGUUCCUUAUAUUUGAGAUUGAAGUUUCUCAUGUUAAAUUAGAGGCUUAGUACUUGCCUCUUUUGGUAGCUAUAAAACAGUCAGUGAGGAGUAAUAGUGUGCAUAAGAAAUUGGGAUUAUGUACCCAUGAUAUGAAUCACAGAGGGCUUUAUUGUAUCUAAUUCUUGAUCCAGCCAUUGAUGUCAUCUUCCCACAUUAUAAUACUUUAUGAAUUCAAUCUGAAAUAUUGUGAAUGGCAUCCUAUAGGUGACAGACAUGUUUCUUUCUGAUUGAUUCUACAAUGAAACCCUUAUAUGCAUCAGAUUGUUACUUCUGUGUCAGGGAUAAUUUUAUAAUGUGCAUAUUCAGUACCUCUGGUUUUAGUCCCACAGGUAUUUGUUGCAUAGUAGAUAGACUUUUGGGAGAGGACUAGAGUUUAAAUUUGCUUUGGACACAUUAAUUAUGUGAUUUUAGGAAAGUUACUUAAGAUUGCUAAUUCUUAUUUUCUUUCACUAUGAUGUAGUAAUAAUAAUAGAACAUAAUAUGAUGUAAUUAUGUAUAAUAUAUUUUGCAAAUUAAAUGGAAGUACACAUUUAGUGCUUUAUAAAUAUUGAAGUGCUAAGGAAAUUCUAACUAUUAUUUUAUAUGUAUCGAUACUUGUCUUUUAUACAACUAACUACCUUCUAACCUUCUAUAAGAUAAUAAAAAACUUGAUUGAUAACCAUGAUUUCAUAAAUUAUGAAUUACUGAUGAAUAUAAAUGAUAUUCAAUGAGUCAUGUCUCUUGGGAUGAUUGUCUACAAAUCAAGUAAAUUUAUGAAGAAAAACAUGUCAUGAAUGUGAGGAUGGUCAUGUAUGAUCAUUUGUUUUUUCACUGCAUUUUAGCAUCUUCCAGGAUGGAACUCUUUAGCUAAUCCUAAAAAAAAUCUUGA